This 496-nucleotide ribosomal RNA is filed under the name uncultured bacterium. RNAcentral's name for it is "partial 16S ribosomal RNA". It matches the Rfam family "Bacterial small subunit ribosomal RNA", at positions 28 to 506 of the family's 1533-position model. The record is from RNAcentral.
GAUGAACGCUGGCGGCGUGCCUAAUACAUGCAAGUCGAGCGAAAAGACGAGGCGCUUGCGCCUCUGACGUUAGCGGCGGACGGGUGAGUAACACGUGGAUACCCUACCUAUAAGACUGGGAACACUUCGGAAAACCGGCGAUAAUCGGGUAUGAUAUCUUGAACCGCAUGGUUCAAUAGUGAAAGACGGCGUUGCUGUAUCUAAUAGAGGCAUUCGCGCCGGUUUAGCUGGUUGGUGGGGUAACGGCUUACGAGGGGGACGAUGCCUAGCCGACCUGACGGGGUGUUCGGCCACACUGGAGCUGAGCCACGGUCCAGGCUCCGACGGGAGGCAGCAGCAGGGAAUCUUCCGCAAUGGGCGAAAGCCUGACGGAGCAACGCCGCGUGAGUGAAGAAGGUCUGCGGAUCGUAAAACUCUGUUAUUAGGGAAGAACAAAUGUGUAAGUAACGAUGCGCGUCUUGACGGUACCGAAUCAGAAGACCCCGGCGAACUCCGU